GAAAUGCGAUAAGUAGUGUGAAUUGCAGAAUUCAGUGAAUCAUCGAAUCUUUGAACGCACAUUGCGCCCCUUGGUAUUCCAUGGGGCAUGCCUGUUCGAGCGUCAUUUGUACCCUCAAGCUCUGCUUGGUGUUGGGUGUUUGUCCCGUCUCCGCGCGUGGACUCGCCCCAAAGUGAUUGGCAGCCGGCGUACUGGUCCCGGAGCGCAGCACAUGUCGCGCAAACGAGUGCCUUGGUACGGCGGCGUCCAUAAGCCCCUCUCUCACGCUCUUGACCUCGGAUCAGGUAGGGAUACCCGCUGAUCUUAAGC
Molecule: unclassified non-coding RNA, 309 nt
Filed under: plant metagenome
Description: partial contains 5.8S ribosomal RNA, internal transcribed spacer 2, and large subunit ribosomal RNA
Rfam family: 5.8S ribosomal RNA (bases 1-105)
Source: RNAcentral